This 679-nucleotide long non-coding RNA is filed under the name Medicago truncatula (barrel medic). Its description in RNAcentral is "lncRNA gene8997". Lineage: Eukaryota; Viridiplantae; Streptophyta; Magnoliopsida; Fabales; Fabaceae. The record is from RNAcentral.
UGUAACCACACAACACACAACUUAUUAACAAAAUAUAAAAAAGCAUAAAAAUUAUAUUUUUAUAAGAAAAGAAGAAAAACCCACUUACCAAUAGAUCCUGAAGAAGGCAAUGAAUGAAUUGCAACAAAGACUGAAGAAGGUAAAAAUGCAGGUUUAAGGAAGUAUAGAAGAAGGUGAAGAGGGAGAGGAAUGGAUUAUUGAGAGAAUAAGUGCUUCAAGGAAACGCGAAAAGCGAGUUGGUUGGAAAAUUCGAAUGGUAGAGAAGAGAAGAAGCUGGUUUUCCCCUUUUAUAUAAGCAACCAAAUUUCUUAUGGUUCAUGCUUCUCUCUCCUUCUUUUAUCUUUUUCAUUUAUUUCCGGUCAAAAACAAAACUAAUUUUUUUUAUAUCUUAAAUUCUUUGUUUUGAAAGUUUAUCUCUUCACUUAAAUUGAGUCAAACAAAAUACUCCCUCCGUCCCUUAAUAAAUGACCUAAUUGACAAUAUGCAUUAUUGACUUGAUAUACUUUGACCAUACUUUUCUACUAAUUCACAAAUAUAAAUAAUAACAUGUAAGAUGUUGUUGGAUUCGUCUCGAUAAGUAUUUUUAAAAUAUUAAAUUUUUAAAAUUUUUUUUAGUAGAGAAUUGAAGAUAUCAAAGAUAAAACAUAUGCAUUGGUAUGUGUGUCAGAGUCAACUAGGU